RNAcentral lists this ribosomal RNA (512 nucleotides) under uncultured bacterium. RNAcentral's name for it is "partial 16S ribosomal RNA". It matches the Rfam family "Bacterial small subunit ribosomal RNA", at positions 28 to 523 of the family's 1533-position model. The record is from RNAcentral.
GAUGAACACUGGCGGCGUGCCUAAUACAUGCAAGUCGAGCGAAUCAACAGGAGCUUGCUCCUGUUGGUUAGCGGCGGACGGGUGAGUAACACGUGGGCAACCUGCCUGUAAGACUGGGAUAACACCGGGAAACCGGUGCUAAUACCGGAUAAUCCUUUUCCUCUCAUGAGGAAAAGCUGAAAGUCGGUUUCGGCUGACACUUACAGAUGGGCCCGCGGCGCAUUAGCUAGUUGGUGAGGUAACGGCUCACCAAGGCGACGAUGCGUAGCCGACCUGAGAGGGUUGUCGGCCACACUGGGACUGAGACACGGCCCAGACUCCUACGGGAGGCAGCAGUAGGGAAUCUUCCACAAUGGACGAAAGUCUGAUGGAGCAACGCCGCGUGAGCGAUGAAGGCCUUCGGGUCGUAAAGCUCUGUUGUUAGGGAAGAACAAGUACCGGAGUAACUGCCGGUACCUUGACGGUACCUAACCAGAAAGCCACGGCUAACUACGUGCCAGCCGCCGCAGUAA